RNAcentral lists this long non-coding RNA (328 nucleotides) under Rattus norvegicus (Norway rat). RNAcentral's name for it is "long non-coding RNA NONRATT007831". Lineage: Eukaryota; Metazoa; Chordata; Mammalia; Rodentia; Muridae. The record is from RNAcentral.
AGCAUAAAGACUAAACUCUAGUAAGGCUCCUCAGUGCUAGGAUCUCUCAUCAGGGAGGUGAAUUUACAUCAAAGUAGUUGUUGGUGAUUACACACCCUGCAUCCCACAGCCUUCCAUGUCUUCUCGCUGGGAGUCAGUCAUCAUGGCUGCAGGAUUCUCCUGUGAAAAUCAUUCUUGGAUAACUCCCACUUCUGCCAUGGGGACUCAGACAUGCUCUCCUUGGAACCAUGGACCUCCUGUGUGUCUCUGGGCCUGAGACCCUGACUGUGCUGUUCUCUCUCUGUUCAUGGAGUUAUUGACACUGUUAAUAAAUAUCUUACUCCCACAA